GACGAACGCUGGCGGCGUGCUUAACACAUGCAAGUCGAACGGAAAGGCCUCUUUCGGGGGGUACUCGAGUGGCGAACGGGUGAGUAACACGUGAGUAACCUGCCCUUGACUUUGGGAUAACUUCAGGAAACUGGGGCUAAUACCGGAUAGGAGCUCCUGCUGCAUGGUGGGGGUUGGAAAGUUCGGCGGUUGGGGAUGGACUCGCGGCUUAUCAGCUUGUUGGUGGGGUAGUGGCUUACCAAGGCUUUGACGGGUAGCCGGCCUGAGAGGGUGACCGGCCACAUUGGGACUGAGAUACGGCCCAGACUCCUACGGGAGGCAGCAGUGGGGAAUAUUGCACAAUGGGUGGAAGCCUGAUGCAGCAACGCCGUGUGCGGGAUGACGGCCUUCGGGUUGUAAACCGCUUUCGCUCAUGACGAAGCUUUGUGUGACGGUAGUGGGUAAAGAAGCACCGGCUAACUACGUG
This 466-nucleotide ribosomal RNA is filed under the name uncultured bacterium. RNAcentral's name for it is "partial 16S ribosomal RNA". It matches the Rfam family "Bacterial small subunit ribosomal RNA", at positions 28 to 507 of the family's 1533-position model. The record is from RNAcentral.